AGUGGCGGACGGGUGAGUAACGCGUGAGAAUCUGCCUUGGGGUCGGGGACAACCACUGGAAAUGGUGGCUAAUACCGGAUAAGCCGAUUGGUGAAAGAUUUAUUGCCCGAAGAGGAGCUCGCGUCUGAUUAGCUAGUUGGUGAGGUAAGAGCUCACCAAGGCAGCGAUCAGUAGCUGGUCUGAGAGGACGAUCAGCCACACUGGGACUGAGACACGGCCCAGACUCCUACGGGAGGCAGCAGUGGGGAAUUUUCCGCAAUGGGCGAAAGCCUGACGGAGCAAGACCGCGUGAGGGAGGAAGGCUCUUGGGUUGUAAACCUCUUUUCUCAGGGAAGAAGCUCUGACGGUACCUGAGGAAUCAGCCUCGGCUAACUCCGUGCCAGCAGCCGCGGUAAUACGGAGGAGGCAAGCGUUAUCCGGAAUUAUUGGGCGUAAAGCGUCCGCAGGUGGCGAUUCAAGUCUGCUGUCAAAGCACGGGGCUUAACUCCGUAAAGGCAGUGGAAACUGAAUAGCUAGAGUGCCGUAGGGGUAGAGGGAAUUCCCGGUGUAGCGGUGAAAUGCGUAGAGAUCGGGAAGAACAUCGGUGGCGAAAGCGCUCUACUGGACGGCAACUGACACUCAGGGACGAAAGCUAGGGGAGCGAAUGGGAUUAGAUACCCC
RNAcentral lists this ribosomal RNA (660 nucleotides) under uncultured bacterium. Its description in RNAcentral is "bacterial SSU rRNA". It matches the Rfam family "Bacterial small subunit ribosomal RNA", at positions 94 to 788 of the family's 1533-position model. The record is from RNAcentral.